RNAcentral lists this long non-coding RNA (517 nucleotides) under Mus spicilegus (steppe mouse). Its description in RNAcentral is "lncRNA (ENSMSIG00000019674.1)". Lineage: Eukaryota; Metazoa; Chordata; Mammalia; Rodentia; Muridae. The record is from RNAcentral.
UUUUCAUCUCGCUGACAAAAAAUUAAUUUUAGCUUCCUAUUAUGUCAUACAAACAAUAUUUCUGUUACCUCUUCCUCUCACGUUGCUGUCAGCCCAGGUUGAAUAUUGAUUCCCAGACCACACGGAAGAGGAAACCCACACGGCGAAGUUCAGAAGCGUCCUGUUAGCGUAAAUGGCCGUUAAACCAGAAAGCUCCUACAUGCCGGAGCCCGGAGCUCCACUUCGCAGGUUUUUACCCUCAAGUCGCGCUGAUUAUCCUGGGAUGACAGGUUUAAAAGGAGAAGAAGCCUCAUCUGUUGAUCUUCAUCUGUUGCUAAGUGCCUGUUGCCAGGUUGUGAAAGACCACUCUGUCUAUCCUGAGGCAAUCCAAGGGUCAGUACAGGUCUUCCUGACUCCAAACUAUGCCAUCCCAUGAGCAUUGUUAAGAGUAUUCGGAAUUCCGAAACAGCAUUUGCUUGAUUGUCUGAUGCUUCAGAAACAAUUCAACAUGCCUCAAUAAAGAACAACUUUGUCCUCA